This 497-nucleotide ribosomal RNA is filed under the name uncultured bacterium. Its description in RNAcentral is "partial 16S ribosomal RNA". It matches the Rfam family "Bacterial small subunit ribosomal RNA", at positions 28 to 507 of the family's 1533-position model. The record is from RNAcentral.
GAUGAACGCUGGCGGCGUGCCUAAUACAUGCAAGUCGAGCGAACAGAUGAGGAGCUUGCUCCUCUGACGUUAGCGGCGGACGGGUGAGUAACACGUGGAUAACCGACCUAUAAGACUGGGAUAACUUCGGGAAACCGGAGCUAAUACCGGAUAAUAUAUUGAACCGCAUGGUUCAAUAGUGAAAGACGGUUUUGCUGUCACUUAUAGAUGGAUCCGCGCCGCAUUAGCUAGUUGGUAAGGUAACGGCUUACCAAGGCAACGAUGCGUAGCCGACCUGAGAGGGUGAUCGGCCACACUGGAACUGAGACACGGUCCAGACUCCUACGGGAGGCAGCAGUAGGGAAUCUUGCGCAAUGGGCGAAAGCCUGACGGAGCAACGCCGCGUGAGUGAUGAAGGUCUUCGGAUCGUAAAACUCUGUUAUUAGGGAAGAACAAAUGUGUAAGUAACUAUGCACGUCUUGACGGUACCUAAUCAGAAAGCCACGGCUAACUACGUG